This is a long non-coding RNA of Gasterosteus aculeatus aculeatus (three-spined stickleback), 3898 nucleotides long. Lineage: Eukaryota; Metazoa; Chordata; Actinopteri; Perciformes; Gasterosteidae. The record is from Ensembl.
CUUCUGUCUGCCUUUGUCUCCUUCUGUCUCCCUUGGUCUCCCAUUGUCUUCUUCUGUCUGCCUUUGUCUCCUUCUGUCUCCCUUGGUCUCCCAUUGUCUUCUUCUGUCUCCCUUUGUCUCCCUUUGUCUCCUUCUGUCUCCCUUGGUCUCCCUUUGUCUUCCUUGGUCUCCCUUGGUCUCCCUUGGUCUCCCUUGGUCUCUGUCUCUUGAAGCCUCUUCUGGUCUCUGAUCCGGCUUCACAUCGUCUGAAUCACGAGUCCUCAGAGUCCAGGAGCUUGAUUGUAUUUUUUCAGAUACGAGAAUCUGUGUAAUAAGUUUGCUUCUGAGAUGAAAUGAAGAAAAUACAUCUUCAGGACUCUGUAGGUUUAGAAAAAAGAAAAGAGCAAGUUGCCCAUUUGAUCAGUUUCUAUUUUUAUCCCAAUAGUAUAAAGUUUAUUAUUCACAUAGAUGAAGUCUGAGAAAAUGACUCAAUUUAUUCCCUCAGCGACAAAAACGUCAUCGACGUCGUCCUCUUAAGCAAAGUUUGUGGGGAUUUACUGAGAAAAAGCUCAUACAAAUUAGACGUGAAACAGACACUUAGCCGUUAGCUGCCCCGUUAGCAUCAGAUGGAUCAGAUGGUCUUUUCCUCUGAAUCUGCUUCUCUAAAAUGAGAACAUUGUUAUUUAUGGUUAUUAUUGACCUCCAUGCGGCCAGCGACUUGUUAUUAGUUCGUCUCCCUCGCGGCGUCACACACUAUUAAGGCGGGAGGUCGAGCCUUAUUGAAGCCGGAGAUCAGGAUUCAGCGCAGACGACGCCGCCUGUUUGUUGACGAGAUGAGUUUUAACCUUGUGACUGAUGGCGGGGGACGAGGACGGGGACGGGGACGAGGACGAGGACGGGGACGGGGGCUGGUUGGCGUGACGACGGAAGAGAGGAAAUAACUCAACAAGAAAAUAUCAUAUUGCAUUUUGCUCAGAUGGUUUUAACACGCAGACUGUUCUUCAUCCGUAGGAUAAACUGCUGUGUGUGUUAAUGAAACCACCGAUACAUGUAUCAUUAUCUAUAUACAUAUAUAUAUAUAUAUAUACAUACAUCUACAUAUAUAUAUCUGCAUAUAUAUACACAUACAUCAACACCCCCCAUGAGAGCCACCAACCCUCAGAAUAAUGAUUAUAUCUUUAAUAAUACAAUUAUUGUCUGUGUUAAUUAAUUAAACUGUCCAGCUUUAUUAUAGAGACAAGAGUCACAUCGAGCGAGCAAGAGUCAAAGUGCAGCAAGCAGCUAUCCAGAGCCUCAGUCCCCAAAGCAUGCUGGGAAAAAGGAACCGGCGUGUAUAACGUGAAAUACCAGAAUGGCUCAUCUGGAGACAGUAGCAGCUCAGCUGAUCGGAGAGUUCACAUAUUGACCAUUAAGGGAGGGUCACAGGCGUCUUCGGUUACUCCAUCAUUGGAAGGGCCCCCCACGCACAUGGAGAUUGUCCCUGGGCAGCUUAGACCUACACUGGUAGGUCUAGUUGAGGUCGGGGUCAAACUGAACAUGCCGACAGCUACAUUGGCGCUACAUCGUGCAAGGCGAUCGGCCAUCUCUCUGUGGUCGUGCACGGCUGGUUUUGACUGGUGAACCAUCUUCAUGAUCUCCAACCACCGUCCUAGAAAAGUACACAGAGAUGUUUAAAGACAAACUGGGAAGCAUGAAGAACAUCAUGACUGAACCAGAUCUGAAGUCUGGUAGCAAACAAAGGUUCAUGUUGCCCGAUGAUCUCAGACCAAAAGUGGAAGCAGAGUUACAAUCGUUCGUAGCGAGCGGCGUCGGUGUGAGUGAAUGGCAACGCCCAAAGUUCCUGCAGGAAAACAAGACGGAUCGAUUAGGAUUUGUGUGGAUUUCAAGGUGACCGUUGACCCUGUGUUGGAAGUGGAACAAUAUCCACUCCCUCUCAUCCAUGAUCUGUUUGCUGGCCCAGCAGGAGGAAAAUAAAUCAGCAAAAUUGACCCAGACCUAGAAAACCUGCAAAUUCUGUGGCAUGUGAUUGAUGGCCAAGGCUUUCACCACCAAAGGUCCGAGCCAUCAAAUGUAAGUCAACUACGUUCCUACUAUCUUGGGCUGCUUAAUUCUUAUGGGUCAAGCCUAGUUUAUACUUCUGUGUUUUCAGAGAGAGACGCAGACGCAAGAGCCCCGGUAGGGCACUGUAAAUAAAACAGUGAGUUACCAGCGUCGACUGCCAGUCAUUUGCAGUUAAUUCACAGUAAAAUUUGUUCAAGUUUACGGUAACUAACAGUAAUCCAUUUUACGGUAACAUAGUGUAAAAACCAUUUACGGAAUUAUACCUCCGGCAACAGGCCAACAGACUAAAGACUCUUCAGACUCACCUCCAGUAAAAGACUAACAAAUUGUAGCACUUAAACUGUGCUUGAAUGCACAUAUUGUAAGUCGCUCUGGAUAAACGUGUCAGCUAGAUGACAUGUGAUGUUGAUGAUGUUGAGUCUUGUGGCUCGUGUCAGAGGGUCUGCAACACACCACAGUUACCCCUGUACACCCGGGGCGAUUGUUCGGAAAUGUUCAGUCAUUUUGGUUUUCCAGAACAGCUGGUGAGUGACACCGGCCCCAAUUUGUCUCUGCAGAUCUGCAAAGCACAGAAUUCAACAUAUACGAUCUGCUCCGUAUCACCACGUCACUAAGAAAGAUUAUUCAGAGCAUGAAACACUCGAGGCUCACAAGGACCAGGUUCCCUCCAUCGUCGACUGCACGCUGUCUUGUCGUCAUACAGGAAUGUGCCACAUGGAACGACGAAAGAGUUACACACCGUCAGUGUGAUCCAGUAAAACUCAGCAGCACCACAACUACAACUACACAACUACAGCUGCUCCUCUUCAUCUUCUCUAGAAACGACUGUAUAACAACUCUGAUCGGACCCAGUGAGAUAUGUUGUCUAAUUAAUUUGUCUGAUUUAUAUGAAUAUAUAUACACAUAUAUAUUUACUCUGCUGCUCCAUUACAUGUGUACUAUAGUUUAAAUGAAAAGAAACAAAACUUGACAGAAGAAUACUUAACAGUCAAGAACCGUAUUAAAAUGUCGAGUCUAUUCUUCCGUCAACAGCAAAACGUUUGGAACACACAAACAUUAAACUUUAAUGCAACAGCAGCUGGUGAGUGUGUGUGUGUGUGUGUGUGUGUGUGUGUGUGUGUGUGUGUGUGGCUGUGUGUUCUGAACGUCAUUCAGGCGGAUGAUAUCUAUAUUUUUAAAUGUUGUAUCAUCUGAACACCUUAAAUUUAAUAAUAAUUUAUAAUAAUAACAGACUAGAUUAACUUUGUUUUAAAUGCAGAAGGAAUCUGUCGAUUCUGGAAGGUGAAGAGAUGUUUGUUCUAGAGACAAAGUCUUUUCUGUAUACGUCGAAAGGUUUAGAGUUUAAAAUACAAUAAUAACUACACAAAUAAAGUUAUGCUAAUGAAUAACAGAGACUAAACAUUAUCAUUUUAACAGGAAAUAUUAUUAACUUUAAAUUUGUCUAAAUGAUCUCCUCACUAGACGUCCAUCGUUAAUAACACUACAUUAACAUGCUGUAAAGGUUAAGAAACACACAUAUAACAUGACACAUAAUAGUUUCAUGUUAUAUAAAAUAUAAACAUUUACUAUAUCGGGCUUCUUAAAAACACACAUCUACAGUUUAUCAGGGGUUUUCAGGUAGAAGCUGAAUUUUAAUGUAGACAAAUUUAGCUAAAGCCACGGUACAAAUCUCACAGAGAAUCAAGGGUACACAAAGGAUCUCACAGGAUCACAUGAACAGAUCACAUGAACAGAUCACAUGAACAGAUCACAUGACUAGAUCACAGGAACAGAUCACAUGAACAGAUCACAUGAACAGAUCACAGGAACAGAUCACAGGAACAGAUCACAUGAACAGAUCACAGGAACAAAUCACAUG